GUGUCAGCAGCCGCGGUAAGACAGAGGUGCCGAACGUUGUUCGGAAUCACUGGGCUUAAAGGGCGCGUAGGCGGACCGCCAAGUCCGAGGUGAAAUCCUCCAGCUCAACUGGAGAACUGCCUCGGAUACUGGAGGUCUCGAGGGAGGUAGGGGCAAGCGGAACUGUGGGUGGAGCGGUGAAAUGCGUUGAUAUCCACAGGAACUCCGGUGGCGAAGGCGGCUUGCUGGACCUUUUCUGACGCUGAGGCGCGAAAGCCAGGGGAGCAAACGGGAUUAGAUACCCUGGUAGUCC
RNAcentral lists this ribosomal RNA (292 nucleotides) under uncultured bacterium. Its description in RNAcentral is "partial 16S ribosomal RNA". It matches the Rfam family "Bacterial small subunit ribosomal RNA", at positions 505 to 796 of the family's 1533-position model. The record is from RNAcentral.